UCAACUCCAGGAAGUAGAGCGACACCAUUGAGGAGGCCACGAUGGGGAGCUACACGACAACCCAAGUUACAGUAUCUCACAAAACGGAGUACACCCCUCUCAUUUCUGCAAUGUUUUACUUAUAUCUUGUCAUGGGACAACAUUGAAGAAAUGGCACUUUGAUGCAAUCCACCAGCUCAGUGGUAGAGUGUCCGCCCUGAGACUGGAAGGUUGUGGGUUCAAACCCCGACCGGGUCAUACCAAAGACUAUAAAAAUUGGACCCAUUGCCUCCCUGCUUGGCACUCAGCAUUAAGGGUUGGAAUUGGGGGGUUAGAUCACCAAAUGAUUCCAGAGCGCGGCACCGCUGCUGCUCACUGCUCCCCUCUCUCCCAGGGGAUGGAUUAAAAUCACACAGGGAUGGGUUAAAUGCAAAGGACAAAUUUCACCACACCCAGAUGUGUGUGUGACAAUCAUUGGGACUUUAACUUAACUUUUAACUUUUUAAGUAUUCACUGUAGAGCUUGGAUAGCAAAGUAAAUUUAUUGUUACUUCAAAGUAACUCAAAAUACAACAAUGAAUGUGUAAAAUGCUGGCAACAAAAGUGAGUACACCCCAACCGAGAAUGUCAAAAUUGGACCCAAACAUCAAUAUUUUCUGUGGCGAUCAUUAUUUUCCAGCACCGCCGUAACCCUUUUAUAGGCAUGGAGUUCACCAGAGCUUCACAGGUCGCCGCUGGAAUGCUCUUCCAUGAUGACAUCACGGAGCUGGUGGAUGUUGAAGACCUUGCGCUCCUCCACCUUCCGUUUGGGGAUGCCCCACAGAUAUUUAGGUCUGGGGACAUGCUUGGCCAGUCCAUCACUUUCACCCUCAGCUUCUUUAGGAAGGCUGUAUUCGUCUUGGAGGUGUGUUUGGGGUCGCUAUCGUGUUGGAAUACUGCUACGCGGCCCAGUUUACGGAGGGAAGGGAUCAUGCUCUACUUCAGUAUUCCACAGUACAUGUUGGCCUUCAUUGUUCCCUCAAUGAACUGUAGCUCCCCAGUGCCAGCAGCACUCAUACAGCCCCGGACCAUGACGCUCCCACCACCAUGCUUGACUGACACACUUGUCUUUGUACUCUUCACCUGGUUGCCGCCACACACGCUGGACAGCAUCUGAACCAAAUACCAUUUUUUUCCAUGUAUAAUGCGCAAAAUGUAACUAAUUUAUUGUCCUAAAAUCUGGGGUGCGCAUUAUACAUGGGUACAAAAAAAUAUAUAUAUAUAUAUAUAUAUAUAUAUUUUUUAAAUCCGGGUAUCAUACGGAGGCCGCCAUUACAGAUGCGCUUUCUUCUCUGCUGUUCACUUCAAACACGCUCCAUACGAACACAAUGCUCUCGUAUCAGACGCUUGCUAGAUCACCUGCUCGUUUGCUGUCACAAUGUACCCUACACAAAUCCAAAACAUUUCUUCGCUAUUGAGUAUGCUAGCGCAUGCGCAGUGAUACUGACCGGCGGAAUAACAUCCGGUUGUUCCCAAAGAUGAUCUUUUUUCUGAAAUAAUUUUACGUUCACGGACUUAACUAGGAGUCAAAAUUUGGGUGCGUAUUAUACAUGGGUACAGGCUUUUUUCCAGCAUCGACAUGCCAUUUUUAGGGUGCGUAUUAUACAUGGGGGCGCAUUAUACAUGGAAAAAAACGGUAUGUUUAUCUUGGUCUCAUCAGACCACAGGACAUGGUUGCAGUAACCCAUAUCCUUAGUCUGCUUGUCUUCAGCAAACCUUUUGCAAGCUUCCUUGUCCAUCUUUUUUAGAAGAGGCUUUUUCCUGGGACGACAGCCAUGCAGACCAAUUGAAUGCAGUGUGCGCAGUAUGGUCUGAGCACUGACAGACUGAGCCCCCACCCCUUCAACCUCUACAGCAAUGCUGGCAGCACUCAUAUGCCUGUUUUCCAAAGGCAACCUCUGAAUAUGACGCAGCGCGCGCACUCAACUUCUUUGGUCGACCAUGGAGGACAACUGGCUGCACACUCCAGUACACGCGAUGGGACAGAAGCAGACUAUGCAUUUUUUUGCUUUGCAUUGUUCGUUCAGUCCUGGUGGAUAAUAUUUGGAUAAGUUUGGAUUUUUAUAUCAUAAAUAAGAGGACAGUUUGCAUUUUUUGUUCAGUGGGUUGGGUAAGUUUAGAUUUUUAUUUCUUAAAUACGAGGACUCAAAUAGACACUGGGUAUUUUAUUUGAAAUUAAGCAUCAACCAAGUGUAAAAUGCUUUUUGUUACAUACAGAAAUAAAAUUCUGUGUUCUCUGCA
Long non-coding RNA from Syngnathus typhle (broad-nosed pipefish), 2258 nucleotides. RefSeq lists it as uncharacterized. The record is from RefSeq and is a predicted model, not a curated record. Lineage: Eukaryota; Metazoa; Chordata; Actinopteri; Syngnathiformes; Syngnathidae. The transcript has 2 exons.